This 83-nucleotide small nucleolar RNA is filed under the name Zea mays. The record is from RNAcentral. Lineage: Eukaryota; Viridiplantae; Streptophyta; Magnoliopsida; Poales; Poaceae.
CUGGAGGCUGUGAUGACAAAAAAAUACCUACCUGUUUUCUGACUCCUGAUGAUAGAAACCAAUGGAUGCUUCUAAGCCUUCCU